Molecule: ribosomal RNA, 109 nt
Filed under: Cynoglossus zanzibarensis (Zanzibar tonguesole)
Lineage: Eukaryota; Metazoa; Chordata; Actinopteri; Pleuronectiformes; Cynoglossidae
Description: partial 28S ribosomal RNA
Rfam family: Eukaryotic large subunit ribosomal RNA
Source: RNAcentral
ACGACCUCAGAUCAGGCGAGACGACCCGCUGAAUCUAAGCAUAUUACUAAGCGGAGGAAAAGAAACUAACCAGGAUUCCCUCAGUAGCGGCGAGUGAAGAGGGAAGAGC